RNAcentral lists this ribosomal RNA (399 nucleotides) under Microhyla butleri. Its description in RNAcentral is "partial large subunit ribosomal RNA". It matches the Rfam family "Bacterial large subunit ribosomal RNA", at positions 158 to 895 of the family's 2925-position model. Lineage: Eukaryota; Metazoa; Chordata; Amphibia; Anura; Microhylidae. The record is from RNAcentral.
CCAAAAACUUAGCUCUCUACCCCUAAUGAAAUUUUUUCAACUAACAACCUUAUAAAACAUUUUACACUUCAAGUAAAGGCGAUUGAAAAAUGUCUAGAAGCUAUAGAAACUAGUACCGCAAGGGAAAAGUGAAAUAACAGUGAAAAUUUUAAGCACAAAACAGCAGAGCCUCAACCUCGUACCUUUUGCAUCAUGGUUUAACAAGUCUAACCAAGCAAACGCACCUUAAGUUUGACUUCCCGAAACUAGACGAGCUACUUAAGAACAGCCUUGUGGGCCAACCCGUCUCUGUUGCAAAAGAGUGGGACGAUUUUUUAAGUAGAGGUGAUAAACCUACCGAGCCUAGAGAUAGCUGGUUAUUCAGGAAAAGGAUCUAAGUCCUACCUUAAAUUUUAUGUA